Small nuclear RNA from Zingiber officinale, 197 nucleotides. RefSeq annotates it as U2 spliceosomal RNA. Lineage: Eukaryota; Viridiplantae; Streptophyta; Magnoliopsida; Zingiberales; Zingiberaceae. The record is from RefSeq and is a predicted model, not a curated record. The transcript has a single exon.
CCAAUUUAUGGGUGACCUUUUGGCUAAGAUUAAUUGUAGUAUUGUUCUUAUCAGUUUAAUAUCUGAUAUAAAGAAUUAAAUUAAUUUUUUAUGAAGGAGAUUCCGUUAUAGACGUAAGGGCGACACUCGAGAACCCAAAUAAUUCGGAUUUUCAAAGUGGCAAGUACUUUAUACUAAUGACUUUGCUUUAGCAUUUU